GUUUUGGUCAAAUAUCCCUUAAACAGAUGGAGGUGUGUUUUGGUCAAAUAUCCCUUAAACAGAUGGAGGUGUGUUUUGGUCAAAUAUCCCUUAAACAGAUGGAGGUGUGUUUUGGUCAAAUAUCCCUUACACAGAUGGAGGUGUGUUUUGGUCAAAUAUCCCUUAAACAGAUGGGGGUGUGUUUGGUCAAAUAUCCUUUAAACAGAUGGAGGUGUGUUUUGGUCAAAUAUCCCUUACACAGAUGGAGGUGUGUUUUGGUCAAAUAUCCCUUACACAGAUGGAGGUGUGUUUUGGUCAAAUAUCCCUUACACAGAUGGAGGUGUGUUUUGGUCAAAUAUCCCUUAAACAGAUGGAGGUGUGUUUGGUCAAAUAUCCCUUAAACAGAUGGAGGUGUGUUUUGGUCAAAUAUCCCUUAAACAGAUUGAGGUGUGUUUGGUCAAAUAUCCCUUACACAGAUGGAGGUGUGUUUUGGUCAAAUAUCCCUUACACAGAUGGAGGUGUGUUUUGGUCAAAUAUCCCUUACACAGAUGGAGGUGUGUUUUGGUCAAAUAUCCCUUCCACAGACAGAGGUGUGUUUUGCAGAGAUCAUCACAUGCAGACAUCAUAGGUUCACCUGCGCCGCGUUUCACAAAGAUGUGGCUGUUGUAACCAAAAAUCUUCAAUUUAGACUCAUCAGACCGAACAGAUUUUACUGGCAGUCUACUGGCAACUUCUUGUGCUUAUAGGCCCAAGCAAGUUGCUUCUUAUUAGUUGUGUCCUUCAGUAGUGGUUUCUUUGCAGCAAUUCGUCCAUAAAGUUGUUGAGAUGUGUCAGUUACUUGAAGUCUGUUAAGCAUUUAUAUGGGCUGCAAUCUGAGGUGCAUUUAAUUGCCGAUUUCUGAGGCUGGUGACUCUAAUGAACUCAUCCUCUGCAGCAGAUGUAACUCUGGGUUUCCUUGCCUGUGGCAGUCCUCAUGAGAGACAGUUUCAUCAUAGCGCUUGUUGGUUUUUGCAACUGAAGAUUCUUGAAAUUUCUAGGAUUGACCGACCUACAUGUCUUAAAUAAUGAUGGGCUGUUGUUUCUCUUAGUUUAUUUGAGCUGUUCUUGAUAUAAUAUGGAUUACUACAGUACAGACAGAAUGGUGGUCUGUGUACCAACCCAACCUUGUCACAACACAAAUUAUUGGGUCAAAAACAUUAAGGAAAUAAAUUCCACAAAUGAACUUUUAACGAGCCACACCUGUAAUUUGAAAUGCAUUCCAGAUGACUACCUCAUGAAGUUGGUUGACAGAAUGCAAAGAGUGCAAAGCUGUCAUCAAGGCAAAGGGUGGCUACUUUAAAGAAUCUACAUGAAAUGUGUUUUGAUCUGUUAAACACUUUUUUUGGAACACAACCAAUGUGUAUGUUUAUAUGUAUACCUAUAUGUGUAUAUAUAUAUACAUAUAUGUGCAUAAGUGUGUGUGUAUGACUCUUGGCAUGCCCAAUCAACUCAAAUAUGGCCGAAGGUUCCACUUGAAAUCAUUCAAUUUGUUUUGCGCAGUUUGUUUCUGGGUGUAUUUCAUUCCAAUACCCACAAUCCACUGUGCCACGCUCCAAGAGGGUGCCUUUCAGUAAUCUACCUUUGCCUCUUCUUAAGGUCUCCUUUCCCUCAUUCACACUGAUCUGAGUGAACAGGGCAGGUGAAAAGCUAGGCCUGCAUCACACUACUUUAACCAAUCAAAUUUUGUCCGAUAAGUGCAAAUGAAAGAGUGGAGACAAAGGGCUCAAUUCAGACUUGGGAUAAAUUUACUUAAUAUGAACUUAGUCUAUUAAAAUGGGGAUUUAAGUGAAACAAUAUGUGUUCUUUAUCUCAAGUCCAUUUACCUGAAGUCUGAAUAGGACCCACUGGAAGACUGCAGAUGAAUGAAGCACCCCUGAUAUGACUUCCUCUACCUUAGGACCACACAGACUACCUUAGGACCACACAACGACUUCAAAGCCAUGACAAGGGGUUAAUCGAUUAUCUGUGAUUUCAUUUUUUAUUUUUUUGUCUUGAUACUUUCUAGAUUCAAAAUAAUAAAAUGUAUAAAUGGAG
This is a long non-coding RNA of Esox lucius (northern pike), 2052 nucleotides long. NCBI's taxonomy places the organism in Eukaryota, Metazoa, Chordata, Actinopteri, Esociformes, Esocidae. The record is from Ensembl.